UCAAACUUGGUCAUUUAGAGGAAGUAAAAGUCGUAACAAGGUUUCCGUAGGUGAACCUGCGGAAGGAUCAUUAAAGGGAGUUUCUCGGGGGCUCGCCCCCCUCCUCCCGUCCCUGAAAACGCGAGGCCCUCUGCUCUGUUACGUCGGCGGGCUUGUCCCGCCGCACAACGAGCACAAAACUCUGUUUUAACGUGUCGUCGUCUGAAGAGAGCGGAUAAUAAAUCAAAACUUUCAACAACGGAUCUCUUGGUUCUGGCAUCGAUGAAGAACGCAGC
RNAcentral lists this unclassified non-coding RNA (275 nucleotides) under uncultured fungus. Its description in RNAcentral is "partial contains small subunit ribosomal RNA, internal transcribed spacer 1, and 5.8S ribosomal RNA". The stretch from base 1 to 73 matches the Rfam family "Eukaryotic small subunit ribosomal RNA", at positions 1759 to 1831 of the family's 1831-position model. The record is from RNAcentral. Lineage: Eukaryota; Fungi.